RNAcentral lists this ribosomal RNA (253 nucleotides) under uncultured bacterium. RNAcentral describes it as "partial 16S ribosomal RNA". It matches the Rfam family "Bacterial small subunit ribosomal RNA", at positions 524 to 776 of the family's 1533-position model. The record is from RNAcentral.
UACGGAGGGUGCGAGCGUUGUCCGGAAUCACUGGGCGUAAAGGGCGCGUAGGCGGCCCGGUAAGUAGGGGGUGAAAUCUUGCGGCUUAACCGCAAGGCUGCCUUCUAAACUGCCAGGCUUGAGCACAGUAGAGGCAGGUGGAAUUCCCGGUGUAGCGGUGGAAUGCGUAGAGAUCGGGAAGAACAUCGGUGGUGAAGGCGGCCUGCUGGGCUGUUGCUGACGCUGAGACGCGACAGCGUGGGGAGCAAACAGG